GGAGAGGUGCCAGAGCGGCCGAAUGGGCUCGACUCGAAAUCGAGUGACCGCUAAUAACGGUCCGUGGGUUCAAAUCCCACCCUCUCCGCCA
RNAcentral lists this transfer RNA (91 nucleotides) under Gammaproteobacteria bacterium. Its description in RNAcentral is "tRNA-Ser". It matches the Rfam family "tRNA". Rfam says of the family: Transfer RNA (tRNA) molecules are approximately 80 nucleotides in length. Their secondary structure includes four short double-helical elements and three loops (D, anti-codon, and T loops). The record is from RNAcentral. Lineage: Bacteria; Pseudomonadati; Pseudomonadota; Gammaproteobacteria.